This is a long non-coding RNA of Eriocheir sinensis (Chinese mitten crab), 1922 nucleotides long. RefSeq lists it as uncharacterized. Lineage: Eukaryota; Metazoa; Arthropoda; Malacostraca; Decapoda; Varunidae. The record is from RefSeq and is a predicted model, not a curated record. The transcript is spliced from 4 exons.
GUCAGCUAGCCAACGGGAACAGGAAAAACAGGAAGAAGGGAAACAGUAGGAAGGCUGGGAGUGUUUCGGGAUGGGUGCGAAAGAACGGGAAGGGCAAUGGGAUACGAACGAGAGAAAGUUUACUAGCCAACGGACCAGGGCAACGGGAACAGGAAGAACAGGAAGAAAGGAAACAGUAGGAAGGCUGGGAGUGUUUCGGGAUGGGUGCGAAAGAACGGGAAGGGCAAUGGGAUACGAACGAGAGAAACAGUUUACUAGCCAACGGACCAGGGCAACGGGAACAAGAAGAACAGGAAGAAGGGAAACAGUAGGAAGGCUGGGAGUCGUGUGUCGGGAUGGGCGCGAAGAGAGCAGAAGUAGGCAACGGGUAGGAACGAGAGGAACGGGAACGGGAAGAAUAGAAAGAACGGAAACAGUAGGAAGGCCAGUUGUCUUUCGAGAUGGGUGCAAAAGAACGGAAAGAACGGGAAAAUCAUAACGGAAGCGGGAAACGGAUAGGCUACAGUGGGAUACGAAACAGAGGAACAGGGGGAGUUUACUAUAGCCAGCGUACCCAUGGAGUGAGGGGAGAUAAAAGGAAAUGGAGAGGCAGGAAGAACGGUUCGGAUUAGGGUAGGGUGAGGUGGGGUCAGGAGGUCAGGUAAUAUCAACGGAUCUAUCACUUAAGAUCCUCCCUGUUGAUGCUCUUGUAAUCGAUCGGUAGCCUAUUAUGGCGUGGAGAUGGGAUGAUUAGCCCGUGAGUUCUGUAGUUCCAUAUUUUCCGGGUCUGGAUUUUACCUUUUGUGCCCACGGAAAGAGAAGGUUUGGGCGGUCAGGCGUGGGCACUGCAUAGAGGGGGGACGUGGGCACUGUGGGGGGUGGUGUGGGGAGGGGGACGGUUCUGCAGGUCUGGAGAAAGUUAAGCUUCCCACAUUCUCCCCCCCUCCUCUGACGUGCCCCGCGGCUCUCGACACGGCGCUGCAUUUGGUCAAUAAACCUUGUAACACGAUUCGUUGGUUUUGAUGGACGUAUAUUAUUAAAACAGGAGGUAUCAUGGCGGUAGAACAUGCACGCGGCGAGGUAGCGAUGACGGAGCGAGCGAACAAUGUUUAGUUCCGUCUUUGGGGUGUGUGAAUAAAAUAAUUUCGUGUCCCCAAGUGAUUCGACACGCAGCGGCACGCGGUACACCAUUUCUACUUCUUGCUUCAUUGACCCACGCUUCGAGACCUUCAUUGAACCACUCACCACCUGUAAACUACACGAACAAGGAUAAGAAGAAUGGGAAGGCCCUAGGACAGUCCCAUCCCGCCAGGAACGAGAGCAGGAAGGCUUUUCACGGCUACCGAGGAUGUGCGUGCGUGUGUGUCUGUGUGGUGGAAGAAAAAGAAAGGAAACAGAGAUGGACGUGAGACAGGCCGUAGCGGUGACUGUCUGUAUUGUGUGUUCAGCGUGUGGGAAGAUAACGACCACCAAGAUCCUGCUGGAGACGUGGACAGCGAAAGUAAGCAAAGAGGAAACUAUGUCAAAAAACGGUGCUGGAAAUUUCAACGCAGCCAUAAGUAGCAAUCCACGCCAAGAAGCCCAUCACCUCCUCGCCUCUACACGGCAGCCUCGCAUAAAGAUUGUUUCAUAAUGUAGAAUUUUCUUCGUCACGCCGCCUCGCUCAAGUCGGAGAAAGCAGGAUACUCUUCCCACGCGUGCCUCGGGCGGAUCAGGAUCAGCAGGAUGGAAGGAGUACGCUUGAAAGGGAAAACUGCAGCCUUGGAGGGGCCUGGGACGGAGUGAGGACUAGACAGGAACGAGGAAAUGGAGAGCAAAAACAUAUUCAGUAAUUGCUUUCUUUGUGGAUAAUUGCGUCAGCUUACUUAAUUGCUUGUUUAUGUGGUUUAAUUAUAUACCACGUGUCUUGAUUGAUUGAUUGAUUGAUUGAUAGUUUAUUGUUG